CGCAUAACUCAAGAGCUGCCACUGUGUAACAGAGACGACUGCCUUCACAGCUCAAAAUAACUCAAUGUUUGCCAGGACCGAACAUCAGCAGAGUUUUCCUCUGCUCCCAAAAAUGUCUCACUCCCUAGAACUGUUCCCCUAAACUGAAUAUUCACCAAUGCUGGCUGAUGAGCCAACUGAAAAAUACAUUGAAACCUCCACUUGCUGAGCCAGUCUUCAAACCAAACUCCACAGAAAGACAGUACUAAUGCAACUAGAGGGAGUGCCUCUAAAGACUGAGCCUUCAUGCAGACACAGAGCACAGAGGUACAGGAUAUAGUUCAUCUCAAAUAGGACAGGAAUUCCUAUCUUGUAUACUAUAAUCUGCUUUUGUCAAGGUGGAGGAGAGAUGGGUCUGGUUAUCACUUGGAGUUUGGUUAUACAUAUGCCUUUCUAUUGCUGUUUGGGGCACUUUGCACCAGGCAACAUCUACGCAAUCAUCAUCUUGUGACCUCCAGGAGAAAGAGGCUGGAGUCACCAACUCAACAUUAAGCUUCCAGACCCUGGGUCUGGGUUAGGACCAUUACCCCAAGGUGAGGGUAUCACCAGUAGAGGACCUCCUGCUAAAUUGCAAUUCCUCUGCUCCAGUUUCAUGAUACCAAGGAGGAUUUCUCAAGAUGGUAUCUCUGAGCUCUGUGAUUUCAUGAGCCACACCAAGGAACCUUCCCAACUACAACUGAAGAAGAUCCUCCCUUCAAACCUGCUAAAAUUGGACAGGUUUCUCCCCGGCAUUCAACUGGAAGCUGUAGCAAUGGGUUUCUUCAGCUGUUGGCUCAUGAGUUCCCUGGCACGAGAGACUUGAAUGUGUUCGUAACAUGAGUUACAGACGAGAACUGGGUCAUAGAGUUGCUGAUCAGGAAUGGGCAGCUUCAGGUGGCAGCAUCCAGCACAAAAUACAUUCCCACAAUUUCUGUCAAAGCAGAAAGAGGGAAGAGUUCAUCAGAAAUGCCAACAUACUGGCCAGGCAGGGUGACUCACACCAGUAAUCCCUGCACUUUGGUAGGCUGAGGCAGUAGAAUCGCUUGAGGCCAGGAGUUUGAGACUUGCCUGAGCAACAUAGCAAGAGCCCAUCGCUAAUAAAAAAAUAAUUAAUUAAUUAAUAUUAAGAAAUGCCAAUAUACUGAGAAUGAGUGAUACUAAAUGAAAAGUUGGGGACAAACAAAAAUAGUUUCUGUAAAGAGGUGUCCACUUCAAAACUAAUUCCACUUAGUUCUAUACAUAUGUAUUACACUAUUUUUGUUUUUGUUUUUUGUCCUUUUUGAGACAGAGUCUUGCUCUGUUGCCAGGAUGGAGUGCAGUGGCAUAAUCUCGGCUCACUGCAACCUCUAGCUCCCUGGUUCGAGCUAUUCUCCCGCCUCAGCCUCCAGAGUAGCUGGGAUUACAGGCAUGCGCCACCAUGCCCAGCUAAUUUUUGUAUUUUUAGUGGAGACAGGUUUUACCAUGUUGGCCAGGAUGGUCUCAAUCUCCUCACCUCAUGAUCCGCCUGCCUCGGCCUCCCAAGGUGUUGGCAUUACAGGUGUGAGCCACUGCGCCUGGCCUGCCCUGUUUUUUGAGUCAUACUAAAUCAUACAAAACAUCUUACCUGCAAUGGUGUCUUCGUUUGGCCAACCAGAAUUCACAGUCACAGUUAUAGCAGUGUGAUGCCAUAUGGUCUGGAACCCAGCGAGUCACCUAAUAGAAGGCACAAAGAAAAAUUCCUGGUCCUUGUUGACAGACUGGAAGAGCAACAUUGCAAUGAGGAAAGCACCCCAGGAGAAAGUGACAAGGCUUAUCUUCAUAACUGGCUACCAUUUGCCUACCAGGCUGACACUCCUCUGGGGGACAGCUCAGUCUACAGCAUGUCAUUCAUCUCUGGAAAAUAUGAUGACUCACUGGCUCACCCCAGGCACCUAACUCAGUGGCACACAGCAAGUACCCAACGAAUAAAUGCUGAAUGGAGGGAAGGCUGGAUGAACAGAGUAAAUAAUGGGUGUAUGGCAGUUGGUGACUACUUACAAAAUCAUCCUCAUAGUCCAUGGGGGGCUCUGCUGGAGGGGCACAGCAGUGACGGAUAUCCAGCCUCAUCUGAAGCUCACGCACCUGUCGACGUAGCUGCUCCACCUCUUGUUUGUACCCUGCUUCGAUUUGCCGUAACCUAUGCUGGAUCACAUCCGUGGGAAAGGGGAGUCCAUCAUCAUCCAAAUAGAGAGGAGGCACUGGAGAAGGGCAGGUCAGUGGAACGGGCUUUGUGCUAGAGACUUGCUUUGGAUGACCGGACAACCACAUCUGGUUCUUUCCUCCUGGGCCAGUACAAUGUCCAUUGGAAUGACUAGAACAGACAGGUGACUUCACACCUUCUCUCUGAGCCCACUGGCCCCCAAAGCAGGGCCCUGUGGCCCGCAUCUGCUUACUGUUUGGCCUCUUGCUACAACAGCCAUAGGAAAGCAGCCGCCGAGGGGUGGCCUCCCCACUUGGGAAUGAAGUCACCAUCCCUUGGAAGCUGUCCCAGUUGGACCCUAGAAAAGAGAACUCACUGAUCUGGCUCUGAGAAAUUGGCUUCCGGACCAAUUCCAAUGGCAUUUUCCCAAAGCGAGGAUUUUCCAAUAACUGCCCAUUCCUAUUAUUUCCUCUUUUACCAAUGUCUUCCUCCCCAUGGGUCAGAUCCGGCACAGAACUCAGUUGUUCCUGGUGGGAGAUACUUGCCACAGACCCUGAGGGAUCUUGGUUGAGGAAGUCAGCGCUUGGGUCUAGAGGAGUUUGGCAGGCAGCACUUGGUGGGUUGCAAACGGUGCUGAGGCUGUGAUCAAGAACACAUUUGGAGGGCACACCUAGCAUGGAGUCUGGCUGGGCCUGUUGGGGCGUACCUGUAGGAGAGUUCUGGGAAGACUCAGGAAAAUUACAAACUCCAUCACACUUGUUAGAAAUGACCUUGGAGAGUGCACUGACAGCUUCUGUUUCAGGACAAUGUUCAGGUGGCUCCCCUAUGCCAUCUAAAGUCCUACCCAGCUCAUCCUGGGCAGAAGGGUCUGGAGCUGGUCCCUUAGUCUCUUCCAGGACUUUGAUCUCAGGAUCAGAGGUGUUGCUCUUCAUUUCCCGAGGCACUGCGGUAUUAAGCUGUUUGUAACUUGGAGAACAGCUUUUGUGACUCUUGAAAGGUUUAUUGCUCAAGUAGUCUUUCUGGCUGCUGGGCAGAGGAGGAGGAAGACCCACUUCUCCUACAGUUUGCUGAGGCCCUCCUACCCCAGAGUCCACAAAGCUUGUCUCUGAUCCCUCAGGAUUGCUGUGCCAGGGCUCCAGGCCUACCCUGACCUCCUGACAGUGGUUAUUCAGGUUAGGGUCACUGGAUGUACGAGUCAGGGGGCUGCUUGUGUCACAGGCAGAAAGAAGAUCAUCCAUGGAUCUGGUUUUAGGUAAUCUGGAAAGACAAAUAUAACACCUCCAGGUCAGGAGAUGGGCACUUGCAAUACAAUAUAUGGAACUGAAUCAAUGGAGCAAUAUCAAAGCCAGAGUUUAGAAAUAAUGACACUUAAGAACACUUAAGUUUAGAAAUAAGGACCCUAAAGAUCACAAAUAACCAAUGUUCACUGAAAGUUUACUCUGUAAAAAAAGCAUGAGACAUGGACCCUGUCCUCCGGAACCCAAAAAUCUAUCCUCAGCUUUUGUCAGCACUCAACCUACCAGUCUCCCUGGGCAAUCUCAACCACUACAGUGGUUUCAGCUGCCUUCUAUGCCAAUGCCUUCUGAAUCUACUGUUCCAGCUAGGACUAUACCUGAGACUCAAACCCAAUAUCCCACUGCCUCCAUCACAGUAAAACAGAAAGAAGAUGGGUUUUGGAGCUAGACAAUAUUGGCUCUGACGCUAAUUAGCUACAUGACUACAAAUAAGUAAAUUAACCUCUCAGAUACUUGGUUUCUCCCUUUAUACAAUGAUGAUAAUAAAUCAUACCUUGUAGA
Molecule: long non-coding RNA, 3972 nt
Organism: Pan troglodytes (chimpanzee)
Lineage: Eukaryota; Metazoa; Chordata; Mammalia; Primates; Hominidae
Exons: 2
Source: RefSeq, a predicted model, not a curated record